CUUUACAAACCUACUCUUAGUUUGAUAUGGGUAAUAGAAAUCAUGUUUCUUCGUUCUCCUUUAUUUUAAUUUUCUUCACCGUCCAAAGUAACAUUCAUGAUGAUUUUUAAUGAGUAUAUUUUAUACUUCUCUCUUUUUCGCGUAUCACGAAGUUUCCUUUCUUACGUUUAAUUCGAUUUUGUUCCUUGCUCGAACACCAUGGAUAAUAAGAUUUUAUAAUUGAACAAGUUUCUCGAUAACUUCGAUGUGACGGACAAAAAGGAUGGUUGAAUGUAAAAAGUCAGGUAUUAUUUAAUUCUAAGAUCAUUCAAUUCGGAAACAUUAAGAUGUGUUCGAGCAAAGUUUAAAAUUACCCAAUAUCUAUGUAUAUUUCUAAGGCUAUUCCUGUACAAAAUGAUGUCACAUGCUUAGAUCAUCAAGAUUAAUGAAUGUUAUGUAUAUACAAAAAAUUACGACUUCUUCAUGUCUUAACCUCUCGAAUGUUUAAACGUUAUUUUUUUUUGCUAUAGAUACAUGCAUACAUACAUGUUAAUCCAAAUUUUAUAAUAGGUUAUGUACCCUUCGUAUUGUAUAUUUGCAAAAAUCAAUUUAUAUAUAUCAAAACGUUAGCUCAUCGGACGCAUCAUUAUAAUUAAUUAAAACUUAAAUGUUUUGAUACAAUAGCGAUAAUGUUUACGAUUAAUUUCGAUGUAUGUGGAAAGAUUUGAAAGAUCUUUCCCUGUCGAUAAUAUUCAAAUUAUAAACAUUUUUUGCGAUUGUGAAAUGUAUAUAUUUAUUAUGCGAAUCGUAAAAGCGUAGUAUCAUAUCGCUUAACAUAAAAACAAUGACGAAUGAACAAUUCGCGCGUUUUACGUCAUUGUGUCGAAGAAGUUAACAUUUCGAUUAAUCGUGUCAGACAACAUGGAAUCAACGAAAGGAAAAAAAGUGAUCACGGGAUCCCAUUCUAUUAUAUUGCAAAUAUAGGUUUCCAAUUGAUGAGAUAUUUCUUCAUCGAAUCUCUAUCGAACGAAAUCUUUAUGCAAUCUAUGUUACAAAAGAUUGUUACAAAGAUUCUAACAUCACAGUCAAAAAAUAUAGUACUAUGCGAUAAACAAACAUGUUAUACCGCUCGUCAGGUAACUCAUUCGUCAGUAAAAAUCUACUAUAAUAAGCAA
Apis dorsata (giant honeybee) is the source of this 1154-nucleotide long non-coding RNA. RefSeq lists it as uncharacterized. The record is from RefSeq and is a predicted model, not a curated record. NCBI's taxonomy places the organism in Eukaryota, Metazoa, Arthropoda, Insecta, Hymenoptera, Apidae. The transcript has 2 exons.